UACGUAGGCAGCGAGCGUUGUUCGGAGUUACUGGGCGUAAAGGGUGUGUAGGCGGUUUUCUAAGUUUGGUGUGAAAUCUCCCGGCUCAACCGGGAGGGUGCGCCGAAAACUGGGAGACUAGAGUGCGGUAGAGGAGAGUGGAAUUCCCGGUGUAGCAGUGAAAUGCGUAGAGAUCGGGAGGAACAUCAGUUGCGAAGGCGGCUCUCUGGACCAGCACUGACACUGAGGCACGAAAGCGUGGGGAGCAAACAGG
This 253-nucleotide ribosomal RNA is filed under the name uncultured bacterium. Its description in RNAcentral is "partial 16S ribosomal RNA". It matches the Rfam family "Bacterial small subunit ribosomal RNA", at positions 524 to 776 of the family's 1533-position model. The record is from RNAcentral.